GAAGUUGAGUUGGAUGCUCAACCCAACUGAGCCACCCAGGCACCCCAUGAAACCCAACUCCGCACAUCUGAGACCAUGAUCUACUCUGGCUGCAGCUCCUGCUGCCAGCCUUUGUGCUACAGGACCACCUUCUGUUGGACCAGUGGCUGCAGACAAACUGUUGCGGGGCCAGCUGCAGUGGACAAACCCACAGUGGGGCCAGCUGCCAUGGAGCCAGCUUCUGCCAGCCUUGUUGCCACCCAACCUGCUGCAACACCACCUUCUAUAGGACCUCCUGCUGUCACAUAUGCUGUGUGUCCAAACCUACUGCCAGCCUUCCUGCUGCUAAUUGCUUUGCCAAGAGGCACCAUCUGCAUAAAACACCAAUUUGUCAUUUGGGAAACAAAGUCACUGCCAAUAUUGCUGAAAGCCUGCUCACAGUCAACAACAUUACAGGCUUGUGAAUCACCUUGAGGAAGUGUGGACCAUUUCUAGCUGAGUCUCAUCUUCCUUCAUCUUUGGAUCAUGUGCCAGCUUCAUGCAUACUGAUAUGGAGUCAUGACCUCUGCCUUGACUCCACAGCCAAGAUUGUCACCCUCUCCCUUUCAAUAACAUAGAGAAAGAAAUUCUAGUGACUCACACAUAGGUGUCUACAACUACUCAAAAUCUUCAAAUCAUGUUUCCUUUUUCAGUGUACUCAUGGUUCUUAUAUCCUUCUUUCUUCUUCUCAUGAUCCAUGUAAAUGUCUCCUGAGACACAGGGAGUCUCACCUUUAUUUCUCAAUAAAGCCUGUACCAUUCACAUCCCA
Leopardus geoffroyi (Geoffroy's cat) is the source of this 787-nucleotide long non-coding RNA. RefSeq lists it as uncharacterized. The transcript has 2 exons. The record is from RefSeq and is a predicted model, not a curated record. Lineage: Eukaryota; Metazoa; Chordata; Mammalia; Carnivora; Felidae.